AUGUCUAUAUGCACCCUCGUAUUUAUCUACAUCAAAUUCGAUAAUUUGCAUACAAAGUGUAAAGCAUGGUAGCAAACAGGGUGUUGAGGAAACGAUGUGUCUACUCGUGUGCGCGAGUCGAGUCGGGCUCACCGAGUCGUGUGCUGUUUGCAUAUAAAUUAUAUACGUGUUUCCGUUGGUCCCGA
Non-coding RNA from Caenorhabditis elegans, 185 nucleotides. NCBI's taxonomy places the organism in Eukaryota, Metazoa, Nematoda, Chromadorea, Rhabditida, Rhabditidae. The record is from Ensembl.